AUAAAGACUAUGAAAACGAGAGUAAAUAUAGUGGUUUCACUAGAGAGUAGAUGUCGUUGGCUGUAAGCAUCUUUGAAUAAAGCUAUGUUGAAGUUCACGUUUGAGUUUAUCCUUUGAAGUUAGUAGGAGGAUACGGUUGAGGUCGUUAUUUCCUCGCUAAGAGCCUAUCUUGCAUAGGAAUUUGGGUGGUACCGCGUUUUUUCGUCCCUUUU
Molecule: non-coding RNA, 212 nt
Filed under: Eubacterium sp.
Lineage: Bacteria; Bacillati; Bacillota; Clostridia; Eubacteriales; Eubacteriaceae
Description: T-box sequence
Rfam family: T-box leader
About the family: Uncharged tRNA acts as the effector for transcription antitermination of genes in the T-box leader family. T-boxes are found upstream of many aminoacyl-tRNA synthetase genes and some amino acid biosynthetic genes usually in Gram-positive bacteria.
Source: RNAcentral